RNAcentral lists this long non-coding RNA (13663 nucleotides) under Setaria italica (foxtail millet). RNAcentral describes it as "long non-coding RNA (SITA_LNC004649)". Lineage: Eukaryota; Viridiplantae; Streptophyta; Magnoliopsida; Poales; Poaceae. The record is from RNAcentral.
UCACCUGAAGUCUAGGUGCUGCGACCACAUCAGAGAAGGGGUGGGAUUAGAGUCGUUAGGGUUUUGGGCUGCCGGCGGCGGCACCAAAAAUGAAUUCGAUAGCACUGAUGCUCACCUGAAGUCUAGGUGCUGCGACCACAUCAGAGAAGGGGUGGGAUUAGAGUCGUUAGGGUUUGGGCUGCCGGUGGCGGCGGCGGAAUUGGAGGCGAUGGCUUUCGGAGGGAAGCCUAGGUGACCAAGGAAUCUCAACGAGCUCGCCGCAUCCAUCUCUCUAGGCGGGGUCCAAGCGAGAAGAGAAGGGAGGGGGAUCGAGCUCUGAGGGGGCGUCCACGAGCGCAUCAAAAUCGGAAGUGUCCCUAUUAUUUGCCGCUCCAUCACUUGAUUUGUUUUCCCGAUUCUGUCAUUUUGACGUGCUACUUCAUGCUCAACGGGUUUCUUCCCAUGUUCCUCGAAGAUUUUUUGGGUGCGCCCAACAUUUUUCCUGGGAGCUGCAGGCAUGGAAUAUGUCAAGCCGUGUAGUUUUGGGAGCAGCAGCAAAAUCCGGGUUGAGGUGAGAUUCAUUUUUCUCCCUUGCUCCAUGUUGUGUCUUUUUUUGUGCUACUUCCUGAAAAAUUUGGAGUAGCAGACCUUAAUAGUGGCUCAGUAACAUUCGCGUAAGCAGCUAGUAGCCUAGAUGAAAUUCAUUUGCGUUGAGGUGAGAAAUUAAUACUGUUUUGGCAUGUCGACUGAUGGAAAAAUACACACCUUGUUUCAGAACUUAGGAUACUAUUCAGAAGAUGCCAUUCGUGUUGUGUUGAGGUCUAACCAAAAGAAAUCUUAGCAUCCUUCAGUCUUGUUUUGUAUUUAGGAACUCGUCUAGCUUUCUGGCAUGUAAAUGGCAUGAUUUUUUAUGAUAAGGUUGCGCUAAAUAAAGGGGAUGUUUGGAUUCCCAGGCUAAAUUUUAGCUCCUGUCACAUCAAAUGUUUGGACACUAAUUAGGAGUAUUAAACAUAGGCUAAUUACAAAACCAAUUUCACAACCCCUAGGCUAAAUCGCGAGACGAAUCUAUUAAGCCUAAUUAGUCCAUGAUUUGACAAUAUGGUGCUACAGUAAACACUUCGCUAAUGAUGGAUUAAUUAGGCUUAAUAGAUUCGUCUCGCGAUUUAGCCUAGGGGUUCUGCAAUUAGUUUUGUAAUUAGCUCAUGUUUAGUCCUCCUAAUUAGCAUCCGAAUAUCCGAUAUGACACGGACUAAACUUUAGCUCCAGGAUCCAAACACCCCCAAAAUUGUAAAGGGCAAUUUUGCUAUGGAUGCAGCAUCCUACUUUUUUUUUCUUAGGUUCAUCGGGCCCAACAAAGUGAUGUGGCCUCUUACUAGUGACUUAGGAAAUAGACCACUAUAAUCUCAAUCCUACAAUUCCUAACACUUCAUCGAGCAUAUCAAAGUUUUCCUAUUCUUGAAUAUUAAGUUAUAGGCGUAUAGAAAGUUUUUGAUAUGCGACCACAAAGUAUCAGUCCUGAGCAUAUAAAGUUUUCAAAAUUGCUAGUAUAAAGUGCUAGUAUUUUUGGAGUGCAAAGUUUGAGAACUGUGAUACCAAAGUUUGUAAUAUGCUUGUACAAAUUUUCUAGAAUCAAAGUGCAAAGUUUCUUAAUUACAAUGUUUUUAUUUCCAUGAGUAGAUAUAGUUUUUUUUAGUUCAAAGCUUAUAGCUAAGCAUAAGAAAAUCAUGUAUGUGUCAGUACAAAGUUCUUUUGCCCCAUACGAAAUGCUGCAUACAAAUAAUGCUGGUUGUGAAUAUGCAUAUUCAAAAGUAUACAAUAGUUUUUCAUAUUCUAUUAUAAAAUGUCAUGUACAGAAAUUAAAAGUUAAGGACAUAUAUUUUUUAAUCAUGCAGUUCAAAGUGUUUUAUGUAUUACUCAAAAGCUGACGAGCAUAGGAAGCCCCUAAUCAUAUUGAAUGAAGUUUCCAAAACUACAAUGCAAAGUUUCUAGAUAUGUGAGUCCAAAGUUAACCGUCGUGAAUGUUGCAAUGUUAAUAUUCUUACUUUUAUGAUGUAUAUAAAGUUUUGGAGUUGGUAGUACAAAGUUUAUAAUGCUAUAGUUCAAAGUCCUAUAUUUCAAGUGAUAAUUUUUUUAAUCAUAAUGAGUCUCGAUCUGGUGUACAAAGUUUCGAGGUGUGUUGGUCUGAUACAAAGCUUUUUGAAUUGUUACUGAAAUGCAAAGUUUUUUCAUGUUAGAAAUGCAUUCAAUACUUUUAUGAGUUAUACAUGAGUGGAUUUCUUUUUUACUAGAUAGCACAUAUACCAUGCACAGUUGUGCUCAUGGUGAUAUUGCUUACGACUCCAAAAUAACUUUGCUAGAUGUGUAUAGUUAAUCACCUUCCCUAUAUAUUUCACUUACCAUCUUAUUUUAAAUUGUUGAUUCUUUCAGGCCCAAGAGCUGACCCUGCAUUUUUCAUUUUGGGUAUACCCCAUUGGCCCUUGCCUUGAUACUCAAGAAGUUUUUGUCUUCCUAGAGUUUGGAUCAGACCGUAUAUAGAUGGUCUAAGUUCAUGCUGUUUGGUACGUGCCUUUCUUCAAAUAGCCAUGUCUUUUUUUUGUUGGUAAUUUAUGGACUUUUGUAGUUUGUUUGCAUUGGACAAUUUAUUUACUCUACAUGGAAUCAGAUUAAGCUUAUGUUAUUUAGUUAUGUACUUCUCAAAUAGCUAUAAAGUUAUGCACAAAGUUUUCAAAUUUCGCUUGAAAGAGGGAUAUGGAGGAAUAUAUGAUUUAAAAAAAAUAAUUCUAAAUACAAAGAUUUCUAUAUACGAUUUCAAAGUUGGUGAGUUUAGAAAGUGUUGAAUAUUUUGAUUUGAAACCUUUUGAAUUUCAAGUAAUUUAAUGUUCUUGCCAUGGUGUAUGCAAUAGACCUUUGUCCGGUAAUCUGUGCAUUUUUUCUACCUAAAAUUUUGAACAAAAUUACAAAGUUUUGAGUUUAAAUUCUCAAAGUUUAUAUUUGCUUUGUUGAAAGUUCCUAAAUUCAUAGUGAAAUAUAAAGCUUGUAACGUACUAGUAGAAAGUUUCUGAAUUGUAAGUUUAAGGUUUGAAUUAUAAAGUUUUAGACUUGAGCGUAUAAAGUUUGUAAUGUGCUAGUGGCAGGUUUAUAUAGUGUGAAGUUUGAAAUUUAUUUGUAAAAAAACCUUUUGCUAAGUGACUUGAAACUUCAUGAAUUUGGAAUACAAAGUUUCUAAGUUUCAUAUCUUGGAGUAUGAAGUUUUAAUGUGCUGGUAGAAAAUUCUAAAAUUUGUUAUACAAAAUUUUGGGAUUGGCAAAUGGCAAUACAAAGCUAUUAUUGUUAUAGUACAAAUUUGGAAUAGCUACAGUUAUUUUAAGUUGAAGUGCAAAGUUUGGAGUUUGUUCAUAAACUAUUUCUUAGUGACCAGAAAGUUAGUACGUUCAAGUAGGAAACUUGUGCAGUUUGUACAUGAUUUAAAGUUUUAAAUAUUUAAGUAGAAAGUUUUUUUUAUCUAUAGAUUAAAAGCUCAUAUGUUUAAAUGUUUGUAUACAAAAUCUAAAGUUUAUAGAGUUCAAGUAGGAAGAGUUCAACUAGCUUCUCAAAAGUUUGGUUGUACAUCAUAUAUUUAUUUGGCAUGCUGCUAUUUCAUUUUUUUUACCCUACACAUAAUAGUUUCUCUAUACAUGAUUUAAAAGUUCUUAAUAUUACAGUUGAAAGAUUUUGACGUGCAGAUGUUGGGCUGGAAUCUGACAUCACGAGACGUUAACAUGAGGACAAACACGUUACAUGCCUGGGGGCUCUAACCCUAGAACACUAAGGUCACUAAAGUUUAGUCCUACCUUUUUAAGUCUCCCUAAACUUCCAAAUAGAAGGGAUUAAAUGGAGGACUAAGGAAUUAGUCCUCUAGUCCCUUGGGAGUGAUUAAGGCGGUAAUUGGUUUCACGAACUAAAAUUUAGUCCCUAUCAUAUUGAAUAUUUAGAUACUAAUUAGGAGGACUAAAUAUGAGCUAAUUAUAAAACCAAUUGCACAGAUGAGCUAAUUAAUCUAUAAUUUAAUAAUGUGAUGCUACAGUAAAUAUGUGCUAAUCAUGAAUUAGUCUCCCUAAACUUCCAAAUAGAAGGGAUUAAAUGGAGGACUAAGGAAUUAGUCCUCUAGUCCCUUGGGAGUGAUUAAGGCGGUAAUUGGUUUCACGAACUAAAAUUUAGUCCCUAUCAUAUUGAAUGUUUAGAUACUAAUUAGGAGGACUAAAUAUGAGCUAAUUAUAAAACCAAUUGCAUCGAUGAGCUAAUUAAUCUAUGAUUUAAUAAUGUGAUGCUACUAAUAAAUAUGUGCUAAUCAUGAAUUAGUCUCCCUAAACUUCCAAACAGAGGGAUUAAAUGGAGGACUAAAGUAAAGGAAUUAGUCCUCUAGUCCAUUGGGGGUGAUUAAGGCAGUAAUUGGUUCCACGAACUAAAAUUUAGUCACUGUCAUAUCGAAUGUUUAGAUACUAAUUAGGAUGACUAAAUAUGAGCUAAUUAUAAAUCAAUUGCACAGAUGAGCUAAUUAAUCCAUGAUAUAAUAAUGUGAUGCUACAGUAAAUAUGUGCUAAUCAUGAAUUAAUUAGGCUUAAUAUAUUCGUCUCGCAAAUUAGCCUCCAUCUGUGCAAUUGGUUUUGUAAUUAGUUUAUGUUUAAUACUCUAAUUAGUAUCUAAACAUUCGAUGUGACAGGGACUAAACUUUAGUCCGUGGAACCAAACACCCCCUAAAGGGACUAAAGGUCUAGGAGGAUACCCCUGCCUCUCAUUAUUGUCCUAUUUCCCAUUAUUGUUCUCUAGUCCCAGAGCAUUGAUUAGGGAUAUUUUGAUCUUUGUUCAUCUGUUUUAAUGACCUUUAGUCCCUGAACUAUAAACUUUAGGCCUUGUUUAGUUAUCCCAAAAUCUCAACUUUGGCACUAUGCAAAAGAAGAUUCUCCAUCACAUCAAACUUACGGUACAUGCAUGGAGUACUGAAUGUAGACGAAAUAAAAAACUAAUUGCACAGUUUGGUUGUAUUUUGCGAGACGAAUCUUUUGAGCCUAAUUAGUCAAUAUUUGGAUAAUAAUUCACAAAUACAAACGAAACACUACAAUAUGCUACAGUGCUGGUACAGUGAUUUUGGUUGUCCAAAAUCGGGCAACUAAACAGGGCCUUAGUCCAAGGACUAAAAGGUCCCUGAACUAUAAACUUUAGGGCCUGUUUGGAUACAGGUUCAUAACUUUAGUACCUGCCACAUCGGAUGUUUGAUACUAGUUAGGAGUAUUAAAUAUAGUCUAAUUAUAAAACUAAUUACACAGAUGGAGUCUAAUUCACAAGACGAAUCUAUUAAGCCUAAUUAGUUCAUGAUUUGACAAUGUGGUGCUACAGUAACCAUUUGCGAAUGAUGGAUUAAUUAGGCUUAAUAGAUUCGUCUCGCGAAUUAGUAUAGGGUUUCUGCAGUUAGUUUUAUAAUUAGCUCAUGUUUAAUUCUCCUAAUUAGUAUCCGAACAUCCGAUGUGACCCCUCCUAAAGUUUAGUACCCUGCGUCCAAACACCCCCUUAGUCUAGGGACCGAAGGAACCAAACAGGCACUCACACGAUAACAGGAAAGGAAAAGGCACAUCACGCACGCUGGCGAACAUAGAGUAGCGCGAGGAACAACACACACACCCAGAGCGCCAAUACAGAACGAGCCCCGAGCAAGGGGAACCCAUCACACACACCGUCAGGCACGGCUCAGCAGCCGAAUAGACUUCCGGGACGAUUGCAGCUCUUUCAUUAGCUUGCUUUAGUAGCUGAGAACAUUAUAUAGAAUCCAUUCCUGACAAAUUCGAAAUCAACCAGGCCACAUGCUCUGCAGAGAUCUUCAAGCUCCGCUUCGGAUAAGAAGAUAUUCAUGCCAGUGAUUCGGCUUAUGUACUGCAAGAUAAUUCCAAGAGAAAGUUUGACCUCCCAUGCGCUGACUUGGAGGUGUCAAAACACUAAAGAAUCACUUGACGUUUGAUGUUAGUUGAUAUCUUGUUGUCGCGUGAAAACCAUUACGUGUGGAUGAUUAGCAGUAGGACAUUACCGGGCGUCCGAUCCUCAAUAUCGGAAUGGCUAGUGGAAUAUCUUCUACGAAAGUAGAAGCAACAAGAACUCCCCCUGGACGAAGUACUCUACUAAUUUCUGCAACCUGUGGAAACAUCAUCAAUAUAAUAAGAACUUGCACCAAUCGUCACCAGGUACGGGGGAGAGAAAUUGGGUAAAGAGGAUGCCAAUUAAUCCUAUGGCAGCAUGUAGUUUUCCUACAUCUAUUUCGUAUGGAUGUAGGCAAACUAGCAUGCUGCCAUAACUUUGAGUGCACGGAAGAAUGUGGAGUUGUUAUGGCAUCAUGGUCAAGUCCAGGGCCACCAGUUUGGCAGUAGGUAGCAGCAUCAACCAGCCGCAACAUUAUCCUACGUUGGUCUAGAAUUGGUUUGUACCAUGAUAUAUAUUAGGAGGAUAAGACCAGUUAGUUCAGGUUGUUAAUUUGUUAAUUCAAUCUGUCAGCAUCUCGCGUUAGGGGUUAGUUUGUUAAUUCAAUAUGUUUUUUUUUUACGAAACGUUAAUUCAAUAUGUUAGCAUCUCGUGUUUAGGGGUUGGCUACAAAGGCAUAGCCGCAUCACCAGUUAGAGGGCAAGAAUUAAGAUCUAAACUACUCACCGCCUCCUAGGGAGGACGAGUUAGAUAACUCUUAAAUUUUGCUAAAUUAUCUUCCACAACAGGAGCACUCAUUUAUGAUGGUUAAUACAGAACAUACAUGAUGAUGCAAUUAAGAAACACGUAAACCAAUGAGAAUUUUUUGUUUGUGAUAUGCGAUUCAAGUAUCGAUCUUACAGCACAAGAUGGGGAUGGCCAACAAUGAAUUGCAGCACCUGCAUGCACGGCAUCAAUUGAGCCAUUCACAAAAGGGAGCCUGGAUAUGUCAGCCCUCACCAAUGCUAAUCUCCUGAAACAGAAGCAGAGGAAAAUUAGAGUUUGCAUUUGACAUUAUAAUAAACUAAUAACCACGGACACGCAAUUAGAUGGCAUGAAUACUGACAUAGUGACAUGACGGAAUAAAUGGUUACUGUGAAUAAAACAUGACAAAGUUACAGAAAGAAAACUAAUGAUCAAAGCCAUACUCAUCUGAAAUGUUUUCGUGCUCGACAUAUUCUUUGCACUGCUUCAACAUAUUCUCUGAGAAAUCUAAUGCCACAACAAGAGAAUAUAAUCCACUCUUAAUAAAUAAUCUUGAAAACAGGCCACUUCCACAACUCGCAUCAACAAUAGUCCCUCCAAUAGUUGGAUUCAAAUAAGUUUUUGCCAUUUCAAACUGCAGGUAUAGCGAUGUUCAGAAAGUCUGCAAAAUUGUAUGCUCAUAAUGCUUAAAUGCACACCUAACCUGCUAAAUAAAUUGAACCUGGAUCAAGCCUGGAUUGUGGGUUUAGGGCCAAGCUAAGAAUGACAUUUUAGAUUCUUAGUUACUAUGGGCAAGGCUGCAUCAUGGCCAACAAUACCCAGCUCACCUGAAAAUGAACAGGCCUGGUGCCUCAGCAUCAGCAGCCCAACAGUUAAAAUGGGCCCAACCUGAAUGCAACAAGGCCUUUUUUUUCCUAGCAUGGCAAUUCCCAGAAAAUGCUCAGGUUUAAGUAAAAUACGGUGAUCAUAUUUUUUAAUGACUUGUUGCAGCUUACCACCAGACAAGUACUGAUUGACAUAGCUCGAGUACCAUAUUUUCCUCAUUGGGAAAGAAAGGUAAGCUACUAAUCAAACUACAUAGUGAUGACUGUGAGACUGUUUGACAGAUGGAAUUGAACAUCCUUAUGCAUACAAUGGGCCUGUUCGCUUCAGCUUAUAAGCCGGCUGAAAAGCUGAAACGGCUGAUUUGUUGUGAGAGGAAAACACUGUUUGGUGGCUGAUAAGCCGGCUGAAUAAGCUGAAGCGAACAGGCCGAAUAUAAUUAAGAGUAUGACCUCUCUCGUUCGGCCCGGGAAACCACCCCAUCUGAACGUUUGGCGCCAUCCUCUCUCGUAAAGGAAUGAUACCAGCGAAGUCCUGUUCAAAUAUUCAUCUGUAAGGACGAAGAAAUAAUUUUGGUAGAACUAAUAAUUUACAAAAGCAGAGUUAUAUUCUUGGUCCCCCUGCUCCCAAGCAGAAACAGUUCAGCAGACAUUGAUACUAGUAACAACUUGUGACCUUUUACUGGAUCUAUUUCUGAACCGACAUUUACUCGAUCAUUCCCUAUGUCUCUAUGGGCAACAAAUCUUGUCUGAUGUGACAUUUUUAAGGUUUUAUAAAGACGUGAAGAGUUCUUGCACUAUUGAUUUAGAGGUGCCAUUGGCAUGUUUUCAGCAUUAGUUAGGAGUAAUUAUUAAAAGAAUUGCAAUUCUCAGAGAACUGAAGCAGAGACUGUGAAUCAUGCUCAUCUGAAAAAGAAGACCCAGUGAAUCAUGCCCUUAAUUUGACCCCUUGUUUACUUGGCAAAUUUGGGAGGUGCCAAAUUACUGUUACAGCACUGUAGCACACUGUAGCGUUUCGUUUGUAUUUGUGAAUUAUUAUCCAAAUAUUGACUAAUUAGGCUUAAAAGAUUCGUCUCGCAAAGUACAACAAAACUGUGCAAUUAGUUUUUAAUUUCGUCUACAUUUAGUACUCCAUGCAUGUACCGUAAGUUUGAUGUGAUGAGGAAUCUUCUUUUUGCAUAGUGUCAAAGUUGGGAGUUAGGGGUGAAGUAAACAAGGGGUCACCCCGGAGACACUACAAUUCCCAAGUUGCUGCAGAUCAAAUUUCCUCUGUUAAUUCCUGCAGCCCCUCAUUUCAGCCAAACUCACCAAGCUAACGAAUCCCAGAAGAAACAAUCCUCUUUACCUGAAUAACUCCGUCGCUGCAGGCAUGGACUCCGUGUACUCGGUUGAACCAACUGCUACUGUAAGAUCCCAGUAAUCCUGCUUAUUUGGGUAGACUUUUUUGCAGGUAGAACACUCCAGACUAGAAGCAUCACUAUAAAGGAACAAACAGUCAGACUGGGGAUCAAUUGGUGGUAGCGAGACAAAAUACGAAAAUUCCGCUUACCCUGACUGAUCGCUCGCGCUCACGAAGGGGUAGUAGCAGAUUGGGCACGCCAGCUUGCUCAGCUUCAUCUCCGGCACCGUUUCGACCAAAAGUUCCUGAAAAUGCUACCAUAUUCACUUGCCGCAGAGCGUGGGGUCCGAGUGGGCUCUUUGCCUGCUCGACAGAAUGCCUCAGAGACUCAGAGGGGUGGGGCAGGUCGGGGGCACUCACCGCGACUUCCUCGUCGGGCGCGUCGGCCGUGACGGUGGGUGGGACGCUCGCGCGCGGGGGAGCUGCUGCGGGGGUGGCCGCCUUGGAAGGAGGUUGGGAGAGGUGGUGGAGGGGUGGGCGUCGAGGGAGGAGUCGAAGUGGAAUCCGAACGGCAGGGAGGGAGGAUAUUUAACUUCCGUUCAAAUGUCAGCUCGCGUUUUUCAUAAUGUUCGUAGCUAAUCACGCUCUUUUCGUGGAAACAUUUUGGGCAGUUGGGCUGGCCGGAAGCGGAAAUUAAUCACCGUAAGCCGUACAGGGCCCAUGACCUAUGUCGUACACGAUGAUUAGUUUCCGCGUCCGGCCCCCUGAAUGUUUCCACGCAAAUUGCAUGGCCCAAAAUGUUUCCUACGCAAACGCCGCGCACGCGCAGAUUGAAAGCGACGUCCCUCCAUUCGUGGGCCGGCCCAGGAAAAGAAGACGCUGUUUUAUGUGUAGUGGGUGGAAGGUCUGAAAACAAAUGUGUAGUGGGUGGACUUGGGCCCAUCGCUCUGAGGUAGCCAAUCCUGUAUGGCAUCCUGAGGCACACGGAUCUAAAUUGCAUGGUCCCAUUUAGACACACCUUACGCAUUCCGGGCUAGCCCGUUAGUCAUAUGACUUUCGUUGAUUGAAAUUCGUGCGCGCGCCCUCACCAUCCCAAACCCUAUCACCUCCCCAGCCAACCACCACCGCCACCACCACUUACUCACCCGUGCGUGUUGCCGGCCGGAUCCAUGCUGCGCACGCGCGCGACUCCACCGCUCCCUGCCCGAGGCAUGCUACUUGCGGCUAGGACCGCCGCUGUGUAACACCUCAUGUUUAGACAGCCUAAUGAUGACAAUGAAAAGCUACUGAUGAUUGGUGGAGAAAAAGGAAGGAAAUUGACUCAAAGUCAAAUUCAAGUUGAAUUUAACUAAAAGUUGCAAUUUGAAAAUUUAAAUUCAGAAAAAUUGAGCAAAAAUAUGAAGUUGAGGUUUGAGAAUGUUUAGAACUCAAGGGAAUGAAGUUGGAGACUAAAUCCAGUCUUAAACUCCUCAAGAAUGCAAUUGAAAAAGGGAAUAAACCAAGUUACUGUUCCCCAUCCGAAAAUAGGCCAUUCUGAAAAACAUUACAAGUAUCCAACUUGGAAAUUGAUUUCUGCCUAAUUUUCCAGGUAAGUGGACAAAGGUGUUUAAACAAUAGUGAAGUAUGAUCUUUGGACAUGUUUAGUAGGAUGUUUUUGAUCAGAGAAAGUGAAGGGAUCAAAUUCAAAUUGGAAUUCAAAAUCAGCACUCUGGCAGUUUCGACCUAGUUACUGAAACUGAAUUUUCUCCAAGUCUGAAACAGCAGCAAUUGACCAUGUUUGGAGCAAAAUUCAGAAAAAUAUAAUGCAAAAGGUAUAUUAGUUCAUGUGCAAAAUGGAAUCCCUGUUAGUUGUAGAGCAUGAAUAGUUAAUGGUUGAACUAUUUGGAGCCAGAUUUAGCUACUCAAAUUAAGUCAAAAAGAGGGCAAAUGGCACUGUUACAGUACCUGUCGAACUGAACCAAAUUCAAAACAAUUCAGUUCAGCUUGGACUUAGAGCUUAAAGAUCUCGACCUUAGAGCAAUUAUCUCGGGUGAAAGCCAAUAUAUCAAUUGAAGAGUUUGAGUUUAUCUACAAGUUUGCCUAAAGGACCUUAGGAUCGUAGGAUUUGAAAUCAACCGUUUUAAAGGAUUGAACUUUCGGAGUAAGAGAGGGGGGCGGGGGGAGAGCGAACAGUAGAGCAGAGACGUGUCGCCGCUGGCACUCUUGCCUGUCAUCCAGCUCGGCGCAUAGGGCCACCUCCUCACCCACGCAAGUCUAUAGCUAGGCCACGGUGGCACUCAUGCAAGCGGUGAAAAUUUUGUAUAUUUACUCCUCCCGCCGCCGCUCUCAUCUGUUUACUGUGCUACCAUUUUUACCGCCGCAAGCAGAGCUCCUGCCGCCGGCCAUUUUCCACAGCUUCACCGCCUCUCGCCCCAAUUCCUUUCACCUACAUCCCCACCAACACCUUCCUGACCACCGUGCCUACUCGUUGUCCAACUUCCCCGCCGGUGAGCUCUUAGCUGCCGCCGUUUCCGUCCGCCGCCGCCUAACUCCCUACUCACGGUGAGCUCUUCCUUGCCGCCGCUUUCCCUCCUUGUGGUAAGCCUUGGGUAAGUCCGUAGGUCACUAGGAAGCUGUAGGAGUAGUCAAAGGGCCGUGUGGUGCCAUUGCCGUGCUUGGCCACGGUCGGUCGCCGGUCAAGCCGCCUGCCGCCGUGGAGAGGCCAGCUCCGGCUGUCUCCCAGGGGGCCACCACCACCCACGGGUGCGCUGUGGCUUGGGGAUGCCUCCCCAACCCGGCCCCAUCGCCGGCAGGGCGCCGGCCGUCAAGCCGCGCUGCCCCCUGCCGCGCCCUGUUUUUGGCGCGGGGAAGAAGAUGGUGCUGACGCUAGAGGCCCGCGCGUCAGAAGAAGAGGGGGAAAGAGUAGGAGGGCCGACGGAUGGUUUAGGGAAAAGGAGGUGGGCCGGUGGGGUGGCGAGUCGAAUAGGAAGGGAGGGAGGUGUAGCUGGGCCGGUCCAGCGGUUCCAGCGCAGGAGAAGGUGGGCGGGCGGGUAAGGUAGAGAGGGGGAGUAGGUGGACCAGUGCUGCGGGCCCAGCACGAAUGAGAGAGGGUAGGGAGGAGACGAGUGAGAAAAGUUGGGCCGGGUUAUUUGGAUAAUCUUAGGUUUUCCUUUUAUUAGAUAAUUAGUGUAAAUUCAGGUUUCACCAUUUAAAUUACAAGAAUUUCUAGGAGUGUCCAAAAUUAGUGAAACCAAUUUUGUUAGGAUUGUUUUAUUUUUCUUUAUGCAUUUAAAUUCUUACACCUUAGGAAAAAUAAUAAAAUUUAGGUAUUUAUUUAAUGCAUUUUUAUUAAGGUAUUUAAAUAAAUACUUAACCUUUAUUAAAUGCAUAAAAUAUUGAAUAAUAUUUUCAUAUUCACAAAUUAUUAUUAACCCAUAGGAAUUAGAUUUUGAGAUUAGAAAAUAUUUAUAAUGUUUUCUAAAAAUAAAAGAAAAGGCCUAAGGUAGGAUUAGUAAAGAAAAUAAAAAUGGUGGGUUAAUCUUUUAGGGGUAAAUGUGUGUUGACUUGCAGCUUUAUCAUGAUAAGUUGUGAAGUUACUUGUUGGCUUGCAACUUUAUCAUGAAGGAAAGUUUUAUAGACUUGUAUUUAAAAAGUUGCAUCACUAACCCCUGCAUGCACUAUAUCGUAGACACCGAAGCACAAGAAGUGGAAGUCUUGGAAUUAUCUGAAGGACCUUCGGAGUUUGAGGAGAUCGUUGAAUUGAUCCCCUGUGAAGCCAGUCCGUCGGACAACGCUAACAUUUUUACAGAUCAAGGCAAGCCCCGGUGCAUCUAUACCUAUCUACUUUGGAGUUAUUAUUUCAUGUGUCCAAUUAUUGGUUAUUUUCCAUAUGAAUGCAUUAAGUCUAGGAGUUGAUUGAAACCUAUUCUUGUGCAUGAUCCUACCUUGUUUUAAGGACAUCUUUUCCACUUGUUCAAUAAUUAGUAAUUAACCCAUGUUUGGCAAUGCUUAGAUACUUUAAGUAACUUGGUUACUUAGCUCUAAGGUAAAUUGUUGGAUCAUACAUACUAGUUAAGGAAAGCUAGCUUGGAAUUCUGAAAAGCAGAUAGAAGCUAGAGAUGUUAGUUCUGUCUGCUAGAUUAAUUUGGUUAAGGCCUGAUCAUUGUCUUAACCUUUGAUCAAGUGAAUAUCACCUGGUUACUUACUGGGUAUGAGACCAGUAAAGCCCGGUAGGUUAGUAGACUCUCUGAUCGGGAAUAUUUCGUACCCGUGCUUGGCGUGCUGGAGAAUGGUAGGGGCGUAGCCUGAAACUCACAUGGAGAUCGGGCCAGACGUGGGGUCCCAUGUGGGGGUGCGUCCCUAGGUUCGGGUAGUCUUAUUCCCAAUCUUUGGGUACGCUAAUCGAAAGGUCGUUAUGUACAACCUGGACAGUUGUACAUAGCUGGUGGUCAGGGUGCUCUCCUGCAGGAUGUAAAUUGAUCCGGAUCGCCGCAAUUCUCAGUUAUGAAUGCACUUGAUCACCGUUAAGCAUCGUAGUGUAAUCUAAUGAAUGUAAUGUUUUUCCGAAAUUAAUAUGUUGUAUGACUUAAUUCUUACUGAUUGCAAAAAUAUUUCUUUUUAGCCAUCUAGAUUGGUUAGGUAACAACUCAACUUGAAUUAAAAGAUAAAGUUAUGGUUUCACUUAUAGUAAGCUCUUUUAGCAAAAUGUGAGUCAGCCAGUACAUUAAACAGCUAGCAUUCAGUUUCGGAAAAACUAUUAUACUGGUUAGUCGGGUUAGUCUUGCUAUGUACCCCGUACUCAGGGGAAUCCCUCGUUGCUAUUUCAGAGCCGCAGCAGGAGCCUGCCGAAGGAGAAGCC